Molecule: long non-coding RNA, 588 nt
Organism: Cucurbita moschata (crookneck pumpkin)
Lineage: Eukaryota; Viridiplantae; Streptophyta; Magnoliopsida; Cucurbitales; Cucurbitaceae
Exons: 3
Source: RefSeq, a predicted model, not a curated record
GUUCUAUGGAUUGGUUGAAAAGCAAGUAAUCUCCUUUGAAAUCCUGGGCCCUCUGAGAUUUGGACUUCUCAAGUCUUCUUAAACUAAUCAGGUGCGGGUUUCUAUUGUGCUGAUGUGUCAUGAUGUCGUGGCAGCACGAGGGAACAGCAACGUGGAUCAAAGGCUAUCUUCCUUCUGAUCCACGUCUGUGAGAUCUCCAUCGGUUGGAGAGGGGAACGAACCAUUCUUUAUAAGGGUGUGGAAACCUCUAAAAACCGUGACGCUAACGGAGAUACGUAUCGGGUUUACAGCCUCUCUUGAACGAAAAAGAUAAGAUUGGAGGGACUGUGAGGAAGGAGCACGACAGUCAAAUCCACAAACGCCAUGUGGCAUCCAGGUUAGUCGAGUUAACGUAAUCGCUUCUCAUAUUCUAAAGCUGGAAAGUUUCAUGCUUUUCAUGUCUUACUAAUAGACCUUCCCAAAAGCACAAAAAUAAAGUAGGCAAAUUGGUUAGGCUUGGUUUCGUUUUCUUAACCCGAAACGCGAAACCGAACAAUUUAUUUGAUAAUUUCUUUUUAAAAAAUUUAAUAGUUAUAUUGUUUUGGAAUU